GUUUUGAUGAAAGAGACACAAUCACGCUUUGGCUUGAGGCAUAGACAUCUUAGCCAAAACUAAAAUUAUUCGAAAGUCCUGGAGAGAUUCUGAGGACACACAAUGUCACAUCCUCACCGGAUUAUCCAUUUUAUUCUGUUUCACGGGAAUUGAGGCCAUGCAAUGUUUUCUCAAGCUAGCCAUCCGUGAUGGAGGAUCAUCCUACAAGGCACACACAAGGGAACAAAAGAGUUCUUCUCACCAAAGAUAUUGACUGACACUGUUGCUUAGGCUGGGUGGCCCAAGAUGGAGGAAAUAUUCAAAAGGGCAGAGGGGAAACUGGUCAGAUCAAAGGCAUCAAAUCCACACAGGAAUGUAAUGGGAUUGGAGACAAGGUUGCAUAGAAACUGUAAAUGUUUCAACAAGUAAUCACCGGAUGGACCCAAGACAGACAGAUAAAGAAGUGAAUAAAUAGCACGAAGCAAAGAGGCUCAGCGAGGAAGAGCCACCAAACCUUAUUUGGAGAUUUGAAGCCUAAGUCACUGGACACUCAACAGAACUAGAGAAUCCUGGGAGGAAAAUGAACACUCAGAUAAAUGCAUAGUGUAAUGACUCUGGAACUUGUUAGGGGACAGCAGCAGAAGAUACCACAGGUGAUAGUACAAGGCAACCUUCGAGGUGUGAGAAGCCCUAUCACCUUUUGAUGGAAUCCGAGCAGUGUCAACGAUGUAGUUACAGAUGCCAAGAACAAUCGCAGUCACAGUAGCACUGGCUUACUCCAUCAGCAACAAGUUCUUGGACCAUGAGCGACCUAAAUGAUCUUGUCCUGCACUCUUUUCUCUGUAAUUCUUAUUGAAACAACUUCUCUGUAUCCAUGAUAAUCCUUUUCAAAAUUAUUUUUUAGACAAAUAUAGAGUCUGGGGCAUCUCUAUGAGCAAAGUGACAUGUUUCUGUGUUCACAUCACUUCUAUUCCCAUCAAUAUUUCCUGAGGUUUUCUUUUUAAUGAGAUUGUAAAAAAAACAAUAUUGGGAGAACACACAUUAAAAAGGACUGAAAAUUGCACAUUUGAUAAAGAUAAGUGUGUAAUUCUGAGUCAUAAAACAGCCUGUGCUGUAAAUACUAACUUACCCAUUUCAUGUGUCCCAAAUGAGCCAGCUUGGCCCUAGACAGUGACCGACAUUCCAGGCUAUAGAUUAGUCUUCGUCAAUAAUUCAAAGUGUAGAAGUGCCUUGUGUUAGAAUUACUUAGAUUGACUUUUAACAUAGCUUAAAUUAAAUGGUCAAUUGCUUCAUCUUCUAUUUCAUUUGAAGCAAUUUUAGUAAGCCCAAACUUCAACAAAGCAGGAAGAAAACAAAGGGAAUCAGUCAACUAACAAGGUUCUUUCAUCGUCAGAAAAGCCGUCAUCUUAUUAGAAGCACUGACUGGAAGAGAAACUGAGCUUUCCUUGUUCUAAAUAGUAGAGAAAAAUAAUGAGAACAGAAACUAUUAUUGGCCAGAAAGGGUCUUUUUUUUUUGAAGCCUUAUUUGAAUACCAAAAUGGUUAAUAUUUAAUUUGCAAAUGUCUAUAUACAUUGCAAUUCCAUGUAAUACAGAGUAAAAAAUGGUGAACAAUUGGAGUUUGGAGAUGCCUUAAAUUCCGUCUUGCUAUGAGUAAAGCAGGCUAAGGAAGUUCACCCCCAUCGAUAAGAAAAAAACAUGUCUUACUUAAUACAAAUCAAAACUACAGUGCUCUAGAGUCAGGCAAGAUUGAGGGAAAGCUCAUAUCCCAGUGGAGCUGUUGCUGUAAGAAGAUGAUUUUCUUAAUAUUGGCAUGUUCAAUGUCUUAGCUCCCCAGAGAGCUAACUGUCUUCUGGACCUCAAGAAACCAGAUAUUAGUAUAUCCAAUAUAUCAGAUCAAAAAGAAUAUCUGGGAAACUGAAACCUACUGUGUCUGUAUAUUUCGUACAUAGCCCAAGCAGAGCUAUAUUUGAGAUUUAUUUUGUUGAAACAAGACCUACAUAAUGAGAAAAUCAGUUGGCAUGCCAGUGUGGAUGGGGAAGUUUCAUGAGGCCUCACACCUAGAUACAGACCUACAGGCAGUCAAUGGUUGCUAGGAGAGGGAAAAUCAUUCCUCAGUGAUAAACUCCCUGAUAGAAUUUCUAAGUGGUCAGCCUGGAACACAUAUACUUAUGCACAAUAUUAAAUGAAAUCAUGGGUGAUCCACACAUAUUUUAUAUGUAUAUGUAUAUGUGUGUGCAGGUAUAUGCAUAAUUUGUAUAUCUGUGCAUAUGUUUUUAUGUGUGUAACAAUAACAUGAUGGCAUGAAUUUGAGAUGGACUUGGGUACACAGGAGGAGUUGGAGUGAAUAGAAAGGGCAGGGAAAUGAAUACAGUUCCUGUGUAUACAAUUCUCAAACAAGUUUUAGCAAUUACAUUUACAAAAAGAAAGAAUGAAGAAUGAGAAUAUUCUUUACCAUGUUUGUCUCACUGAACUAUUAGUAUCAUUUUGAGUCCAUUCCUUCUUGAAAUGCUUUUUUGACAAAAUAAUUACUUGUAGUAAUUCCCCUGUAUUAAAGAUUAGCAAUGGUCAUUCUUUAGUAGCAGUCAUGAUAUAGAAAACAAAGACUUUUUUGCCAAGGCUCAACAUUUUACAAUCCUGGUGUAUCAAGUCAAAUUUCAUGCUCCUUAUUUAUGCCCUCCCUGUAUAAGAUAUAAUUACAGUAUAUGUCUGUAUCCAAUGUACAUUUAUUAAUUUGUAAACAGAAUGUGCACUGUGUAAUGUAUAGUACAAUGUAUAGAGUGUUGAUUUUACAUGUGUUUAAGUCAAAAUCAAAUUGAAAUCUUUCUCCUUUUUAAAUGCAUAAUUUAAAUGUUUGAAUUAUAAAUUUUAUUUUCCAACUCUCAAAAUCAGUGGUUGUUACAAUUUAAAUGAGGAGAACAUAGAUAUGCUUUAAUGUGUUUUGAAUUAAAGCCUUUGUUAG
Molecule: long non-coding RNA, 2939 nt
Organism: Rattus norvegicus (Norway rat)
Lineage: Eukaryota; Metazoa; Chordata; Mammalia; Rodentia; Muridae
Source: Ensembl